Molecule: ribosomal RNA, 454 nt
Filed under: uncultured Parapedobacter sp.
Lineage: Bacteria; Pseudomonadati; Bacteroidota; Sphingobacteriia; Sphingobacteriales; Sphingobacteriaceae
Description: partial 16S ribosomal RNA
Rfam family: Bacterial small subunit ribosomal RNA
Source: RNAcentral
ACGGGAGGCAGCAGUGAGGAAUAUUGGUCAAUGGGCGGAAGCCUGAACCAGCCAAGUAGCGUGCAGGAUGACGGCCCUAUGGGUUGUAAACUGCUUUUGUGCGGGGAUAAAAAGCGGGACGUGUCCCGCCUUGUAGGUACCGCAAGAAAAAGGACCGGCUAACUCCGUGCCAGCAGCCGCGGUAAUACGGAGGAUCCGAGCGUUAUCCGGAUUUAUUGGGUUUAAAGGGUGCGUAGGCGGGCUGUUAAGUCAGCGGUGAAACCCCCGGGCUCAACCCGGGGACUGCCAUUGAAACUGGCGGCCUUGAGUACGUUGGGAGUGCGCGGAAUGUGUGGUGUAGCGGUGAAAUGCAUAGAUAUCACACAGAACACCGAUCGCGUAGGCAGCGCACUACGCCGCAACUGACGCUGAGGCACGAAGGCGCGGGGAUCGAACAGGAUUAGAUACCCUGGUA